This 467-nucleotide ribosomal RNA is filed under the name uncultured bacterium. RNAcentral's name for it is "partial 16S ribosomal RNA". It matches the Rfam family "Bacterial small subunit ribosomal RNA", at positions 29 to 507 of the family's 1533-position model. The record is from RNAcentral.
ACGAACGCUGGCGGCGUGCUUAACACAUGCCAGUCGAACGGAAAGGCCCUGCUUUUGUGGGGUGCUCGAGUGGCGAACGGGUGAGUAACACGUGAGUAACCUGCCCUUGACUUUGGGAUAACUUCAGGAAACUGGGGCUAAUACCGGAUAGGAGCUCCUGCUGCAUGGUGGGGGUUGGAAAGUUUCGGCGGUUGGGGAUGGACUCGCGGCUUAUCAGCUUGUUGGUGGGGUAGUGGCUUACCAAGGCUUUGACGGGUAGCCGGCCUGAGAGGGUGACCGGCCACAUUGGGACUGAGAUACGGCCCAGACUCCUACGGGAGGCAGCAGUGGGGAAUAUUGCACAAUGGGCGGAAGCCUGAUGCAGCAACGCCGCGUGCGGGAUGACGGCCUUCGGGUUGUAAACCGCUUUCGCCUGUGACGAAGCGUGAGUGAUGGUAAUGGGUAAAGAAGCACCGGCUAACUACGUG